This 496-nucleotide long non-coding RNA is filed under the name Homo sapiens (human). RNAcentral's name for it is "HSALNT0157222". Lineage: Eukaryota; Metazoa; Chordata; Mammalia; Primates; Hominidae. The record is from RNAcentral.
AGCUGCCUAGGCCUCCACAGAACACACACACACACAUCAGCCUAGGCCUCCACAGCACACACACAGCUUCCUAGGCCUCUACAACACACACGCACGCACACACACACAGACUGUCUAGGCCUCCACAGCACACACAUACACAUCAGCUUAGGCCUCCACAACACACACGCACACACAAUCAGCCUAGGCCUCCACAACACACACACACAGCUACGUAGGCCUCCACGACACACACACAGCUGCCUAGGCCUCCACAACACACACGCGCGCACACACCUGCCUAGGCCUCCACAACACACGUGCACACACACACACAGCUGCCUAGGCCUCCACAGAACACACACACACAGCUGCCUAGGCCUCCACAACACACACACACGCGCACACACCAGUCUAGGCCUCCACAACACACACACACACACACACACACACCUGCCUAGGCCUCCACAACACGCGCACACACACCAGUCUAGGCCUCCACAACACACACACACAC